This 459-nucleotide ribosomal RNA is filed under the name uncultured bacterium. RNAcentral's name for it is "bacterial SSU rRNA". It matches the Rfam family "Bacterial small subunit ribosomal RNA", at positions 28 to 524 of the family's 1533-position model. The record is from RNAcentral.
GGUGAAUGCUGGCGGCGUGGAUAAGUCAUGCAAGUCAAGGGGGCCCGCAAGGGCAACCGGCAAACGAGGUAGUAACACGUAGGUAGACCCCCCAGAGUCGGGCAUAGCCAGCCGAAAGGUUGGGUAAUUCCCGAUAGUCCCGAAAGGGUAAAGGUUUUUCGCUCUGGGAGUUGCCUGCGUAGUAUCAGCUAGUUGGUAGGGUAAUGGCCUACCAAGGCUACGACGCUUAGGGGAGCUGAGAGGCUGACCCCCACGAUGGAACUGCGACACGGUCCAUACUCCUACGGGAGGCUGCAGACGAGAAUAUUCCGCAAUGGGCGAAAAGCCUGACGGAGCGACGCCGCGUGAUUGAUGAAGUGCUUCGGUACGUAAAGAUCUUUUAUCGGGGACGAAGGUUUUAUUGACGGUACCCGAUGAAUAAGGGGCUCCCUAAACUCUAGUGCCAGCAGCCGCGGUAAU